AUGCCGUUCAGUCUCAGCGGGCAUCUGGUGCGGCACGUGUCCGGCGGGGGCGACGGUUCGAGGCGCUGCUGGCUGAGUGUGACACUGACACGGCGAUGCCAAGCAGGCCACGGCCGACUUGUGGCCAGGCAUGCCUGCACUGAAAAAGAGGGCUGGGAUGGAGCGGUCGUGGGCUGCAGGCCAUCCAGAGCGGGCAGCAGCGCAGCAAGAGAAAAAGGAGAAGUGACACGGUUGGCAACCACAGCUCGCUGCAAGGCGGGGACGGGAUCGACGGGGAGCAGUGAGGGCAGCAGCGACUACUUCCUGCGUCAGCUGAGCUCCAGCGACGGCAGCAGCGUGCCGGUGCCAGCGCCGCGCCAGCCGGAGGAAUGGGAGUGCGGCUGCGGCGUCGGUGGCACUGGAAGGUGCGGGUCGAGGAGGUGGUCAAGGAAGAAGGCGCGGGCGAGAGGCCACCGGCACGGUGGUGGUGACGCAUUCUGCGGGGCACCGGAGGAGGCCGCGACUGCUCCUUUCCUCUCCCCGUCGGCGCGAGUGCGCGGGUCGCUGGGUAUGAGGAGAGUGAGAGGACAGUUGCGUGAGGAGGAGAAGGUCGUGGCCGUCGGCUCCUGUCCUCUCCCCGUCGGCGCCAGCGCCUCUCCUCUCUCCGUCGGCGUCAGUGCGCGGGUCGCGGGGCGUGAGGAGGAGGAGGAGGACCAGGUGGUGGCGCACCUGCCGGAUCCGAGGCGCGCGGGCGCAGAGGCCCUGGUGGAGGACGUCGGUGCGAUCGGCGCCAGCCGCGUCCCCCUCCCGCGCUACGCCGGGGAGGAAUGCGCCUCCGCCGUUAACGCCGCCGCGCCUAGCAGGAGCGGCGCAAGGGCAUCCCGUGGACAGAGGAGGAGCACAGGCUUCUUGCUGGGUCUGGACAAGUUCGGCAAGGGCGGCGAGCGGAGCAUCCCGCUUUUCAUCAUCUCCCGGACGUCGAUGCAGGUGGCCAGCCACGCGCAGAAGUACCUCAUCUGCCUCAACUCCAUGAACCGGAACCGCCGCCGCUCCAGCAUCCAUAACAUGACCAGCAUCACAACGCCGCCUCACAGCCGCAGCGCACGGCCCCGGGCGCCCAUGGGCCACCUGGUCGCCGGCCACAUGGUCCCCGCCCCCGUCGGGACGCCGGUGAUGCUCCCGCCGGGGCCGGGGCACCCGCCCUACGUCAUGCCCGUCGUCUACCCGGCCCGCAUCAGUAGGCAUGCCAUGCUUGCUUUGUCUCUGCUCUGGUUCGUGCGCGCGGGGCACGCCGGCAUGCAUGUCAAGCGCAUGGACGAACCACACGAGUAUUUCUUCCUGUUCUUUUUUGAUUGA
This 1335-nucleotide ribosomal RNA is filed under the name Triticum aestivum (bread wheat). Its description in RNAcentral is "partial small subunit ribosomal RNA". The record is from RNAcentral. Lineage: Eukaryota; Viridiplantae; Streptophyta; Magnoliopsida; Poales; Poaceae.